Long non-coding RNA from Octopus sinensis (East Asian common octopus), 217 nucleotides. RefSeq lists it as uncharacterized. The transcript is spliced from 3 exons. NCBI's taxonomy places the organism in Eukaryota, Metazoa, Mollusca, Cephalopoda, Octopoda, Octopodidae. The record is from RefSeq and is a predicted model, not a curated record.
ACACAGGCGGAAGUAUCAUGUCGUGAAUGGACAACUCCUAUUCGUUAUCAAAAAAAAGGGAACAACAUUAUUGUGAAUUUUAAAGAAGGACCUUCAAAGUGUGAUAUAAAAAGAUAUAAAGUAUCAAUUUUUCAUAUGAAUUUACCCCAUUUAAAAGCGGUGGCUUCCGAGAUAACCCCAAAUCUAACCCAGGAAUUUCUUGGAAUAUGUGAUGGAA